This 403-nucleotide ribosomal RNA is filed under the name bacterium. RNAcentral describes it as "partial 16S ribosomal RNA". It matches the Rfam family "Bacterial small subunit ribosomal RNA", at positions 355 to 776 of the family's 1533-position model. The record is from RNAcentral.
UGGGGAAUAUUGCACAAUGGAGGGAACUCUGAUGCAGCGACGCCGCGUGAACGAAGGAGGCUUUCGAGUCGUAAAGUUCUUUUAUAUGGGAAGAUAAUGACGGUACCAUAAGAAAAAGCCCCGGCUAACUACGUGCCAGCAGCCGCGGUAAUACGUAGGGGGCUAGCGUUGACCGGAAUCACUGGGCGUAAAGGGUUCGCAGGCGGAAAUGCAAGUCAGGUGUAAAAGGCAGUAGCUUAACUACUGUAAGCAUUUGAAACUGCAUAUCUUGAGAAGAGUAGAGGUAAGUGGAAUUUUUAGUGUAGCGGUGAAAUGCGUAGAUAUUAAAAAGAAUACCGGUGGCGAAGGCGGCUUACUGGGCUCAUUCUGACGCUGAGGAACGAAAGCGUGGGUAGCAAACAGG